Molecule: ribosomal RNA, 556 nt
Filed under: Staphylococcus pasteuri
Lineage: Bacteria; Bacillati; Bacillota; Bacilli; Caryophanales; Staphylococcaceae
Description: bacterial SSU rRNA
Rfam family: Bacterial small subunit ribosomal RNA
Source: RNAcentral
UUGGGGGCCUUUCGGGAGGCAGCAGUAGGGAAUCUUCCGCAAUGGGCGAAAGCCUGACGGAGCAACGCCGCGUGAGUGAUGAAGGUCUUCGGAUCGUAAAACUCUGUUAUCAGGGAAGAACAAACGUGUAAGUAACUGUGCACGUCUUGACGGUACCUGAUCAGAAAGCCACGGCUAACUACGUGCCAGCAGCCGCGGUAAUACGUAGGUGGCAAGCGUUAUCCGGAAUUAUUGGGCGUAAAGCGCGCGUAGGCGGUUUUUUAAGUCUGAUGUGAAAGCCCACGGCUCAACCGUGGAGGGUCAUUGGAAACUGGAAAACUUGAGUGCAGAAGAGGAAAGUGGAAUUCCAUGUGUAGCGGUGAAAUGCGCAGAGAUAUGGAGGAACACCAGUGGCGAAGGCGACUUUCUGGUCUGUAACUGACGCUGAUGUGCGAAAGCGUGGGGAUCAAACAGGAUUAGAUACCCUGGUAGUCCACGCCGUAAACGAUGAGUGCUAAGUGUUAGGGGGUUUCCGCCCCUUAGUGCUGCAGCUAACGCAUAAGCACUCCGCCUGGGA